GCGGGCGUGGCGGAACCGGCAGACGCGCCGGACUUAGGAUCCGGUGGGGUUGCCCGUGGGGGUUCGAGUCCCUCCGCCCGCACCA
RNAcentral lists this transfer RNA (85 nucleotides) under Pseudomonadota bacterium. RNAcentral describes it as "tRNA-Leu". It matches the Rfam family "tRNA". Rfam says of the family: Transfer RNA (tRNA) molecules are approximately 80 nucleotides in length. Their secondary structure includes four short double-helical elements and three loops (D, anti-codon, and T loops). RNAcentral also lists the same sequence under 1 other name. The record is from RNAcentral. Lineage: Bacteria; Pseudomonadati; Pseudomonadota.